Molecule: unclassified non-coding RNA, 20 nt
Filed under: Mus musculus (house mouse)
Lineage: Eukaryota; Metazoa; Chordata; Mammalia; Rodentia; Muridae
Description: oocyte_clustered_small_RNA13963
Source: RNAcentral
UGGGAUCAAAAAGCAUGGGC